This 312-nucleotide signal recognition particle RNA is filed under the name Halorubrum vacuolatum. RNAcentral's name for it is "Archaeal signal recognition particle RNA". It matches the Rfam family "Archaeal signal recognition particle RNA". The record is from Rfam by way of RNAcentral. Lineage: Archaea; Methanobacteriati; Methanobacteriota; Halobacteria; Halobacteriales; Haloferacaceae.
GGAUGGACUAGGUCGGGCGGUUAGGCCCCGCUCGUAACCCGUGAGGGAGUCUUUAGCGGGGACCGAACACCGGGCACGUCCGGUCAGACCGGGACGGGCCUCGGGAGCCAACGUGGAAGCCUCGUCCGCCGGGGACAGCGGUCCACGGCGCCCGCCCGCAGGGGCGGUCCGUCGUGGUUCGCCGGCGACACCGGGUCAGGCGCGGAAGCGAGCAGCCCACCGUCGGACGCCAGUCGCUCGUCGGGUCGCGGGGUGGAGAAGGCAACCGGGAUACCCCGUUCCGGAACGCCGGGCAACCCCGGUCGUCCACCA